CGCGUAGGCGGACCUGCAAGUCGGGGGUGAAAGCCCGAGGCUCAACCUCGGAACUGCCUUCGAUACUGCGGGUCUCGAGUCCGGGAGAGGUGAGUGGAAUUCCUAGUGUAGAGGUGAAAUUCGUAGAUAUUAGGAAGAACACCAGUGGCGAAGGCGGCUCACUGGCUCGGUACUGACGCUGAGGCGCGAAAGCGUGGGGAGCAAACA
RNAcentral lists this ribosomal RNA (207 nucleotides) under uncultured bacterium. RNAcentral's name for it is "partial 16S ribosomal RNA". It matches the Rfam family "Bacterial small subunit ribosomal RNA", at positions 568 to 774 of the family's 1533-position model. The record is from RNAcentral.